CAACAUUUCUGACUGUGUUCCAGGGGGCGCCGUAGAGCCCCUGUGCCACGCCCGGGUCUCAGCCUCUGCAGCCUCCUAAUGGCCACAGAUUCUAAGGGGGCGCCGUAGAGCCCCUGUGCCACGCCCGGGUCUCAGCCUCUGCAGUCUCCUAAUGGCCACAGAUUCUAAGGUGUGUGCAAAUUUUCAAGAGUUUUUGAGCAUGUUAAGGGCCCCAAAAAGCCCCCCACAACUUUGACGAAAAAUAAGAAUACUAAACCCUAAAUAGCCAACUUCCUGUUGGGCGGAGCCUAUGACAUGCAGUACGAAAGUUGUUUGGCUUGAUGAGAUCUAUAUGUGUACCGAGUUUCAUACGUCUACGUGCAAGUAUGUAUGAUAUAUGGCCCUCCAUAUUCCAGGGGGCGCUGUAGAGCUCCUGUGCCACGCCCGUGUAUCAGUCUCUGCCCGGACCUAAUGGCCGCAGGUUCCAAUGUGUGUGCCAAUUUUCAAGAGUUUUCGAGUAUGUUAAGGGCCCCAAAAGCCCCCGAGACGUUGGAAAAAAAAAAUAAUAAUAAUAAUAAUAAUAAAAAAUAAUCCUAAGGAAAACAAUAGGGCUCUCGCCCUCCAGGCUUGAGCCCUAAUAAUAAGAAGAAGA
This is a long non-coding RNA of Cyprinus carpio carpio, 631 nucleotides long. The record is from Ensembl. NCBI's taxonomy places the organism in Eukaryota, Metazoa, Chordata, Actinopteri, Cypriniformes, Cyprinidae.